CAUGGCUCAGGACGAACGCUGGCGGCGUGCCUAAUACAUGCAAGUAGAACGCUGAAGAGAGGAGCUUGCUCUUCUUGGAUGAGUUGCGAACGGGUGAGUAACGCGUAGGUAACCUGCCUGGUAGCGGGGGAUAACUAUUGGAAACGAUAGCUAAUACCGCAUAAAAUUGAUUAUUGCAUGAUAAUUAAUUGAAAGAUGCAAUUGCAUCACUACCAGAUGGACCUGCGUUGUAUUAGCUAGUUGGUGAGGUAACGGCUCACCAAGGCGACGAUACAUAGCCGACCUGAGAGGGUGAUCGGCCACACUGGGACUGAGACACGGCCCAGACUCCUACGG
This 336-nucleotide ribosomal RNA is filed under the name uncultured bacterium. RNAcentral's name for it is "bacterial SSU rRNA". It matches the Rfam family "Bacterial small subunit ribosomal RNA", at positions 18 to 344 of the family's 1533-position model. The record is from RNAcentral.